GGGAGAGUACCCAAGUGGCCAAAGGGAACAGACUGUAAAUCUGUCGUCAGUGACUUCGGCGGUUCAAAUCCGUCCUCUCCCACCA
This 85-nucleotide transfer RNA is filed under the name Clostridiales bacterium. RNAcentral describes it as "tRNA-Tyr". It matches the Rfam family "tRNA". From Rfam's summary of the family: Transfer RNA (tRNA) molecules are approximately 80 nucleotides in length. Their secondary structure includes four short double-helical elements and three loops (D, anti-codon, and T loops). The record is from RNAcentral. Lineage: Bacteria; Bacillati; Bacillota; Clostridia; Eubacteriales.